UACGGGGGGUGCGAGCGUUAAUCGGAAUAACUGGGCGUAAAGGGCACGCAGGCGGACUUUUAAGUGAGGUGUGAAAUCCCCGGGCUUAACCUGGGAAUUGCAUGUCAUACUGGGAGUCUUGAGGACUUUAGGGAGGGGUAGAAUUCCACGUGUAGCGGUGAAAAGCGUAGAGAUGUGGAGGAAUACCGAAGGCGAAGGCAGCCCCGUGGGAAGGUACUGACGCUCAUGUGCGAAAGCGUGGGGAGCAAACAGG
Molecule: ribosomal RNA, 253 nt
Filed under: uncultured bacterium
Lineage: Bacteria
Description: partial 16S ribosomal RNA
Rfam family: Bacterial small subunit ribosomal RNA
Source: RNAcentral